Molecule: ribosomal RNA, 467 nt
Filed under: uncultured bacterium
Lineage: Bacteria
Description: partial 16S ribosomal RNA
Rfam family: Bacterial small subunit ribosomal RNA
Source: RNAcentral
GACGAACGCUGGCGGCGUGCUUAACACAUGCGAGUCGAACGGAAAGGCCUCUUUCGGGGGGUACUCGAGUGGCGAACGGGUGAGUAACACGUGAGUAACCUGCCCUUGACUUUGGGAUAACUUCAGGAAACUGGGGCUAAUACCGGAUAGGAGCUCCUGCUGCAUGGUGGGGGUUGGAAGGUUUCGGCGGUUGGGGAUGGACUCGCGGCUUAUCAGCUUGUUGGUGGGGUAGUGGCUUACCAAGGCUUUGACGGGUAGCCGGCCUGAGAGGGUGACCGGCCACAUUGGGACUGAGAUACGGCCCAGACUCCUACGGGAGGCAGCAGUGGGGAAUAUUGCACAAUGGGUGGAAGCCUGAUGCAGCAACGCCGUGUGCGGGAUGACGGCCUUCGGGUUGUAAACCGCUUUCGCUCAUGACGAAGCUUUGUGUGACGGUAGUGGGUAAAGAAGCACCGGCUAACUACGUG